This 4696-nucleotide long non-coding RNA is filed under the name Sus scrofa (pig). RNAcentral describes it as "lncRNA (ENSSSCG00060020641.1)". Lineage: Eukaryota; Metazoa; Chordata; Mammalia; Artiodactyla; Suidae. The record is from RNAcentral.
UACUGCACUGGACAGUCUUUAUACAUUCUAAGAGACAUGUGAAUAAUGUGAGAGGAGCACACUUUCCCAAGCACUUGAUUUUAAGAGCCUGUCUUGGGUGUAAGUAAACUGAGUAUGGAGGCUCACCUCUAUGGGAGGCUAGAGUUCUUGCAGCCAAUUAGUUGCUUUGACCUGAAUCGACUCAUUUUCAUUUAGAUGUUUUCUUGCAACCUACCAACGAGCAUCUUGUAUCACCCCCCCACACCUGCCCUUUCCUCUAAAUCUGAGAAUGACUAUGGCAAUGGGGAUAGAACAGCACAUGUAUUAGAAGUGAAGAGCAUUACUGAGAAUUUAGAGACUAUGUCUAGUUUGGAGGAACCCAAGGGAACUUCAAGAAAAGUAAUCAGAGUGAGUAGGAAAGAAUACAUAAUGCAAAUUAUUCCCUCCAGGAACUUUACUUCAAAAAGAACAAGUGCAUUUCCCUGAAGGACACCAGUACUGUCAAAUGUAACUGUUCACCAUGCUUCUCCAAGGCACCAAAUGGGCUUUUAAGUCACAUUCCUGCAGGUUUAACCAUGGAUUCAAAAUAGAAACUGUAAAUUUGCUCUCUAAGUUUGUAUUGACAUGCAGAUAGUAUUGGGGUUAUUGUGUGGCCUCACUAGGAUAUCUGCUUAUAAUUUAAUGAGAGAUUUGGUAAAAAUGGACUGGUUGACAUCACAGAGGUUUCAGCAUUUUUGACCCUCUAUUUUAUGUGGUGAACCCCAAGACCAACUGAGAUCAAAACUUCUGGCAGCCUCUGAAAAUAUCUGCUGAAGAUAUUUGUGGAAUAUAAGCUUAUCCUACAAAUUAACAACAAUAAUAAAGAUAUAAUAUUCAUUUAUAUUCCCUUAGAAUUAAUGAGCCAUUUCAUUGUCUUAGCUAUUUCCUUGAAGGGGAGAGAACAGGUCAAAGCACAACCACUUCCAUAAAACAGAGAAAACCGCUCCUAUUUUAUGACACACUGAUGGAAAAAGACAGGCCUAAAAGUUCUUCCACCCUUCACCUCUAUGAUAGAUGGAUAGAUAGACAGAUAGAUAGAUAGAGAGAUAGAUAGAUAGAUAGAUAGAUAGAUAGGUGGGAAGACAGACUGACAGACAAUUGGGGAAUGUAGUUAGUCUGGCAUUAACCUUCAUUUAUCCGUCUAUGUGAACAGCACUAAGAAUACACAGAUAGCUAACACAUAAUCCAUGCACUGAGGUGACUCAAAGUUAAAAGGGAGACAUACAUUUAUAACGCAUUACGAUGACUGUGGUAGCGUCAGAAACUAAUUGCUUUAGGAGUACAGAGGAAGAAGUAAUUAAUUCUCCCUGAGGGUUUAGAGGAAGAUUCAUGAACAAACCUGUGCUGCUCUGCAAUGUCACUACACAUCCAGAAGCCAAUGGGAGUGAAGUCAAGGGCAAAGUGGGUAAGGACCAGACACUGUACGCCCAUAGAUGACCCCUCUCCUAUUAUAGUGCACCCCAACAAGGUUAUCUAUCCACACAUAUUGUUUCCAACUAAACCAACACUUUUCCUGGUUCUUGACAUCAACACUUAAGGAGUUAAAGCUCCUCUCCAGAACUAUUGCUUUGAAAGCAGCCUUUAUACCUCUACUGAGUAGAGAGCAGUCAGUCAUUAGAGCCACAAAGAGCCAUGCACUCAGGAACACAUAUACACACCCUACUUAAAUGUAUAUAUGCAUGCAUGCAUGUAUGUAUGCAUAUAUAUAUAUGCAUAUUAAGUAAAUGAUAUACAAAUAUAUGAAGUAAAUAUAUACAGGUAUUAUUAAACACCUGAGUAGGUAGCUCUUUGCUAGGGCUCAAGGAAUAAAAAUCAGCAUAAGACAUUUGCCUAUAAAAAGUUUGUAGUACAGUGAAGUAUAUGGCAUGCCCUACCAUAGUCAUUGCUAGCACAAAGGGGAAAGACGAGGGCAUUUUGUAAUACUCUCUUCAGCUCAAGCUGCUACCAAGAAAGCUGGGAAAUAACAUUAUGAGAUAAUCCAGUCUUCCCCACCUGUAAGUACCAACUAACAAACAAAAAGUUUAUGUAAAUAAAAGGAACUACCACUAAAUAUUAAUAGAUCCAAUAUAUUCAGCCCAUGACCACCAGGAAGCUGCAUUCUCUCAGCAGUGUCUUAUUUAAGGUUGAUGCUGUCUUCCUAGCCACAUAAAUCACUCUAAGAGAGAAUAGAGUUUUUCCCUGUGGAGUCUGUGAUUACAGACAGGUAUCCCAGUUUGGGAUCAGGAAAGCCCUCGUUCUAAACUAAACAUGGCUACAGAAGUAGUUGAUUGCCUUUGGCUGUUUUUGUUUCCUCAUCUAAAAGAGAAGCCCUGGCCUAAAUGAUCAGCACAAUGAUUGCCAAUUCUGAUGUUACUCUCCAGGCAGAGGCAACCAUUCCUGAGAGUGGCACCCAAAUGGCACCGUCUUUGCUUCUGUGUUCCUCUUUUUUCUCAGCCAAAGUAUCCUCAUUUUAUUGCACAACCAAAGAAUUAAAAGCAUAUGUUCCUUUGGGAAUGCAGAAAGUUAUCUUGGACUAUCUUGGCCAAUUCAAAAAUCUCUUCAGGUGCUUAUUUUCAAAUAUAUUUUGCCUGCCAGAAGGACAGGAAUUUAUUUUUUUGGGGGGUUCCAGAAGGUAACUUAUUACGAGCUGAAUAGUGAGCCUCCAAAAUUCAUAUAUUGAAGUCCCCGACUCCAAUACUUCAGAAUGUAAUCGUAUUUGGAGAUAAGGUCUUUAAAGGGGUAAUUAAGUUCAAAUGAGACUGCUAGUGUGGGGCACAAAUCAGUAUGACUAGGGUCCCCAUAAGAGGAGGGAGAGACACCAUGAAAUGCACAGAGGAAAGACCAUGUAAGGACUUGUGAGAAGAUGCCCAACUACAAGUCAAAGAAAGAGACCUCAGGAAAAAUCAAACCUGCCAACACCUUGAUCUUGGACUUCUAGCAUCCAGAACCGUACAAAAGUUAAUUUCGGUAGUUUAAGCCACCCAGUCUGUGGUACUUUGUUACAGCAGCCCUAGCAAACUAAGAUAGUAGGCAUUCAAAGAAUAAGAAAGAAUUAAUAUCUUCUGUGCCACAUAUUCUUUAAAUAGCAUGACUCUGUGUAUCUACAAGUUUCACUAAUUUAUCAAGAAGCACAGGAAGUAGGAAUCCUCAAAUAAGUGAUUCAGAAUAUAGCAUUGUUCACUGACCUAUCAUUUGUAUUUGAAACUAUUUUACUGACUUUAUAGAAACAGACACCGCAUCAUGAAUUUUAACAAACUCUUUUGGGGGACCAAAAUAUCUGAAUCAGUUGGCCUACACAGACAUCUCCCAAAUGUAUGAAUCCCCCCUGAUGUAAGAACCAGAGACUCUGUAAGCCACUCUGAACUAAAAAAAUAUAUCAGAAAAUAAUUGUGGAGUUCCCGUCAUGGUGCAGCGGAAACAAGUCCGACUAGGAACUAUGAGGUUGCAGGUUCAAUCCCUGGCCAUGGGUGCAGCCCUAAAAAAAGAAAAGAUAAAAAAAGAAAGAAAAUUAUAAUUAAAAAAAAAGAAAAUCUGAUUCAGUGUGCUUUGAAAUCCCCCAAGAAAAACUGUCCUCCACAGUACAACUUUUUCUUCCUCCUGGCAAACUUUGUCUUAGCAGGUUUUAUUCAGAACAUCUGAGCUAGAGCAGAGUUGCGACUUGAUUGAUACUCACUUCCAAGUGGAAACCACUGCAAAGUUUCUUCUGCAUUGAUUAGUGUCUCCCAGCUGCCUAAAAACCCACAAUGAAUUCACAACGCAUCAGGGAUCGCAUCAGGGAGUUAUUUAUGGGUGAGGAACAUGCUUAUUGCUACCUCUAUUGUGCUAUCCAUAUGUCAAAGGAUCAGAGAUGUAUUAACGGGCUCUUCUCAGGCAUUAUUCCCACCCAGAGCGAAUGACUGUUUCUGAUUAGUCUUAAAUUAACUUAUCUGCAAAUUUAUUUUUUACAUGGGAUGCAUUUGUUUGCUUUCUUAUGAAUAAGAAUGUAUACUUCUCCGUCACCAUGUCUUGCCAUAAGUCUGAACAAAACUGCCUGUGGGCCUGAGCUACAGCUCAGUCACCAGCAUUAACGGGGUCACCCAAUACACUCAUCACUGAAUGUGAACUCAGUCAGUCUCUUAUCUGACUCCACCAGUAAAAUAAAUAAAUGAGCAAACUGCUAAAAAUAAAUGGAACCAUAUCUUAUUCAAAAUGUUAUCUGUAUCUGCUGAGGAAGAAUCCAAGGGAAUUGGCUCUGUUAUGGAGUUGUUCUGAGGUGUUAAAAAUUGUAGGGCAUUAUGCCUGAGGAGACAAUGCAGUACAGAACCAAGAUUCCCCUGUAUCUGAUUAGAAUUUGCACAAUAUUAAGUAAAUAAUGAACUCUUGAUUCGUAGCUAGACAAGGCAACAGGCCUGGGUUUUAUCAUGUGCAUAGUGAUUUGUAAUGAAUGGGAAUGGACAGGUGAAAUCAAAAUGCAGGGGAAAACAUGAAGCUGAAUGACACUGAAUAUCUGUUCUCUGAAAGAAGUUAUUCUGUUUCCCUUAAACCAAGACCUGCAGCUUAGUCUAUGAGUGGUACUGAGUAAUCAAGGUAUAAAUGCUUUCAAUGCCAAAAGCUUCUAAAAUAAUAAGAGGAUGGAGAAAAGAAAAUAGAGAAAUAGAGGGGCCAAUCCUAUUUUUAAAUGUUUUUAAAUGCCUUACCUAAUGGGGCCUGACUCCCACGC